CGUAGGGUGCGAGCGUUAAUCGGAAUUACUGGGCGUAAAGCGUGCGCAGGCGGUUUUGUAAGCCAGAUGUGAAAGCCCCGGGCUUAACCUGGGAAUGGCAUUUGGGACUGCAAGGCUUGAGUGCGGCAGAGGAGACUGGAAUUCCUGGUGUAGCAGUGAAAUGCGUAGAUAUCAGGAGGAAUACCGAUGGCGAAGGCAGGUCUCUGGGCUGACACUGACGCUCAUGCACGAAAGCGUGGGGAGCAAACAGGAUUAGAUACCCUGGUAGUCCACGCCCUAAACGAUGUCGACUGGUUGUUGGGGGUUUGACACUCUCAGUAACGAAGCUAACGCGUGAAGUCGACCGCCUGGGGAGUACGGCCGCAAGGUUA
This 371-nucleotide ribosomal RNA is filed under the name uncultured organism. RNAcentral describes it as "bacterial SSU rRNA". It matches the Rfam family "Bacterial small subunit ribosomal RNA", at positions 526 to 896 of the family's 1533-position model. The record is from RNAcentral.